AAAACCUAAAAAAAAAUUAACUGGAAACUAUUUUUGCUCAUUAAUGGAUAUGUAUGUAUGUAUGUAUUUCUCGAUAUUUUCGAUGUUGUUACAUAUGUUUAUCGGAAUUUUUAUCGACACAAUUUUUGGGUGUACUCAUUCGUAUUUUAUUAUCACGUUUAUAUCAACUCCAGAUAUGCAGUAUAUGGAGGUGAAAUAGUAAGCUUCAAUUGAGAUCAAUUCGUGUACAAAAUGAGAAUUUAGUUGUGUCCGAGACAAGCGCUAGCUUUUGUAAGAACAAUGCAGCCGGAUCACAAUUUAUAGUUUCUCAUCAUGUCCGUCCUGAUUGAUGGCGCUGAGGAAUGGACAAUGGCAACAUCCGAUGAGACAGAUGAAAAUGCUGCAGCUUUGAAAUUAUUCGAUGUGGUACCCGCUGAUGGUGGUGGAGGAAGAAGAAGGCAAACUCUAAGCUGGAAAUUACAGGUAGAGAGCGAAUUAGCUUAAUUCGGUGUUCAUAAUUGGUUCCCGCCGACGAGAAGGAUGAAGGACUGGCUUGUCGCAAACCAAGAAAAAGGCAAUUACGAAGAAUAUAUAAAUGGCGCUGGAUAAAUUUGUAAAAAUUUCCCCUUUUAGUUUCUUUUCCCAAGGAAUGGGCAAAA
This is a long non-coding RNA of Rhagoletis zephyria (snowberry fruit fly), 638 nucleotides long. RefSeq lists it as uncharacterized. The record is from RefSeq and is a predicted model, not a curated record. Lineage: Eukaryota; Metazoa; Arthropoda; Insecta; Diptera; Tephritidae.